CCUUUUUCUAUUCCUCUUUGUUCUAUUCACCAGAUUGAGAGUGUGUGAUUGUUUACCGCCUGUUGUUUUGCAGGUACUGACCUGUGUUGGAUUUCAGCUUUAUAAACUUGGCUUUUUAGUGGUUAAUUUUGCUACAUCGCGUGCUUAUUUUCCAUGCUUCUGUAUUCGGAAGACUGAAUAAAAGGAACAUGAUGAAAUACAAGUAGCCAAGUGCGUGGAAAUUGGCCUUCCAGAACUCAUCCUAAUGGUCGCGUUUUCUCAGGUAUUGUUUAAAUGGUCAUGAAUGAGGUGAUGUUGUACUUAUCAUGUUUGUUUCCUGGACAAUAUUUGCAUCAUGUUUUUCAUUCUAGAAAGGGUGUCUUUCGCCGGUUUUCUAUUCUUUUCACUGUUUCAAUCGUGUGACUCUACACAUGUAUCCUCGCAAUUAGUGGAACCUAAAAGAAUGAAGCGGCGGCUCGAUCUGAGCUGCUAUAUCUGAUUGUAUUUUAGUAAGACCCUGCAAUUUUAUCGACCAUGUAAAUUGAUUGCUUGAGGAAUGUGAGAUUGUGUCCUUAGUUUGUACAUCCAUGUUCUUGCACAGUCUUCAGAUUUCGGUCUUCUAUGCAUGUCUUCUCGAUUUUUCGAAAGCGAGACAUUUAUUUAUGCAGGUUUCUCCAUGCCAUCGGCAGCAGCCGUAAGCAUAGGGGCAGCGGUCAUGGUCGCCCGAGGAGCACAACUUCAUGGGGGCUGGUCCUGCUGCCGCCAAAGCAUAGUGGAGGAGGUCGAUGCAGGGUUGAGGAGGGGCAUGGGCUAAGAGUGGUGGAAGAAAGGAAGGAUGAUGUUUUGGGUGUGUACACAUGUAUAGCACUAGCAUUUUCAGAUGAUUGUGAAGCUUAUGGAAGAGGCAUAUCUGAAUGCUUGUUUUGUGCCUUUCUCGCUCUAAACAUGGUAACCCCUAUUCUUACAUACAAGAAGGUGCUCUUGAUUACUUCUUGGAAAAUGAUCGAUUGAUUAUUUUCUUAUGACACAUAUUAUAGUUUACAUGGAACUAAAAAGAACAUUGGUUUUCUGAGAAAAUAAGAUUAGGGAAGUCACACAUGUUGUUUAAAUCAAGUAAGGUAGCAUAUAUGUAGCUUUACUUGCUAUUUUUUCAUUUCUAGAGGUAAAGCAGAAACCUGAUACCAUGUACAGCUGUGCAAGUGUCUUG
RNAcentral lists this long non-coding RNA (1186 nucleotides) under Triticum aestivum (bread wheat). Its description in RNAcentral is "long non-coding RNA (TAES_LNC022337)". The record is from RNAcentral. Lineage: Eukaryota; Viridiplantae; Streptophyta; Magnoliopsida; Poales; Poaceae.